This 505-nucleotide ribosomal RNA is filed under the name uncultured bacterium. RNAcentral's name for it is "partial 16S ribosomal RNA". It matches the Rfam family "Bacterial small subunit ribosomal RNA", at positions 28 to 507 of the family's 1533-position model. The record is from RNAcentral.
GACGAACGCUGGCGGCGUGCCUAAUACAUGCAAGUCGAACGCACAGUUUAUACCGUAGCUUGCUACACCAUAGACUGUGAGUUGCGAACGGGUGAGUAACGCGUAGGUAACCUGCCUGGUAGCGGGGGAUAACUAUUGGAAACGAUAGCUAAUACCGCAUAAUAUUAAUUAUUGCAUGAUAAUUAAUUGAAAGGUGCAAUUGCACCACUACCAGAUGGACCUGCGUUGUAUUAGCUAGUAGGUGAGGUAACGGCUCACCUAGGCGACGAUACAUAGCCGACCUGAGAGGGUGAUCGGCCGCACUGGGACUGAGACACGGCCCAGACUCCUACGGGAGGCAGCAGUAGGGAAUCUUCGGCAAUGGACGAAAGUCUGACCGAGCAACGCCGCGUGAGUGAAGAAGGUUUUCGGAUCGUAAAGCUCUGUUGUAAGAGAAGAACGGGUGUGAGAGUGGAAAGUUCACACUGUGACGGUAUCUUACCAGAAAGGGACGGCUAACUACGUG